AAUUUCGGGUAAUCGCGGUCUAGCUAGACUAGGCUGAGGAAAGUCCAUGCUCGCACAGGCUGAAACGUCUGUAGUGUUCGUGCUUAGUGAAACCAUAAGCUAAGGCCUUCAGUUUAUCUGAAGUGACGGCAGAAAAAAGGACUAAGGCGAAAGCUAUGUCUGAGUAUUCUUGAAAGUGCCACAGUGACGAAGCAAUGUUGGAAACAUCAUUGGUGGAACGGGUAAACCCCUCGAGCGAGCAACCCAAACAUUGGUAGGGGCACUUUUCCUAGGGAAUAAAACUGAUGGAAGAGGCGUAAUCGCAGACAGAUGAUUACCUCCGGAUAAUGAUAUUCCUGGUCUUUAUCCGAGACAGAACAUGGCUUAUAGAA
RNAcentral lists this RNase P RNA (371 nucleotides) under Pisciglobus halotolerans. Its description in RNAcentral is "Carnobacteriaceae bacterium C01 Bacterial RNase P class B". It matches the Rfam family "Bacterial RNase P class B". From Rfam's summary of the family: Ribonuclease P (RNase P) is a ubiquitous endoribonuclease, found in archaea, bacteria and eukarya as well as chloroplasts and mitochondria. Its best characterised activity is the generation of mature 5'-ends of tRNAs by cleaving the 5'-leader elements of precursor-tRNAs. Cellular RNase Ps are ribonucleoproteins. The record is from Rfam by way of RNAcentral. Lineage: Bacteria; Bacillati; Bacillota; Bacilli; Lactobacillales; Carnobacteriaceae.